This 265-nucleotide long non-coding RNA is filed under the name Mytilus galloprovincialis (Mediterranean mussel). The record is from RNAcentral. Lineage: Eukaryota; Metazoa; Mollusca; Bivalvia; Mytilida; Mytilidae.
CGUUUGUAUAUGUGUUACAUUUUGUUUUUGGUUCAUUUUUGAUAUGAAUAAGGCCGUUAGUUUUCUCGUUUAAAUUGUUUUACAUGGUCAUCUUGGGGCCUUUUAAAGCUGACUAUGCGAUAUGGGCUUUUUUCAUUGUUGAAGGCCGUGCGGUGACCUAUAGUUGUUUAUUUCUGUGUCAUUUUGGUUUCUUGCGGUGAUCUGUCUCAUUGGCAAUCAUACCAUAUCUUCUUUUUUAUAUUUAUACAAUUUCGAUUGAAAAAUG